This 292-nucleotide ribosomal RNA is filed under the name uncultured bacterium. Its description in RNAcentral is "partial 16S ribosomal RNA". It matches the Rfam family "Bacterial small subunit ribosomal RNA", at positions 505 to 796 of the family's 1533-position model. The record is from RNAcentral.
GUGCCAGCCGCCGCGGUAAUACGAAGGGGGCUAGCGUUGUUCGGAAUUACUGGGCGUAAAGCGCACGUAGGCGGAUUUGUAAGUAGGGGGUGAAAUCCCAGGGCUCAACCCUGGAACUGCCUUCUAGACUGCAAGUCUUGAGGUCAGGAGAGGCGAGUGGAAUACCGAGUGUAGAGGUGAAAUUCGUAGAUAUUCGGUGGAACACCAGUGGCGAAGGCGACUCGCUGGACUGAUACUGACGCUGAGGUGCGAAAGCGUGGGGAGCAAACAGGAUUAGAAACCCCAGUAGUCC